Molecule: non-coding RNA, 146 nt
Filed under: unclassified sequences
Source: RNAcentral
AAGUUGAAUCUUGGUGGGGAAUAAUGUGAAAAUCAUUAACUGUUCCUGCAACGGUAAUAACUUAAUAAAUGUUAAAGUCCGAGUGCCGCCCAACUUAGUCCUUUGUUGAAUGAAGGCCAGGAAAAGUCUAGUUCUACGAUGAAAAA